RNAcentral lists this ribosomal RNA (85 nucleotides) under Azospirillum rugosum. RNAcentral's name for it is "partial 16S ribosomal RNA". It matches the Rfam family "Bacterial small subunit ribosomal RNA", at positions 1 to 96 of the family's 1533-position model. Lineage: Bacteria; Pseudomonadati; Pseudomonadota; Alphaproteobacteria; Rhodospirillales; Azospirillaceae. The record is from RNAcentral.
GAACCUGAGAGUUUGAUCCUGGCUCAGAACGAACGCUGGCGGCAUGCCUAACACAUGCAAGUCGAACGGAGGCUUCGGCCUCAGU